RNAcentral lists this ribosomal RNA (502 nucleotides) under uncultured bacterium. Its description in RNAcentral is "partial 16S ribosomal RNA". It matches the Rfam family "Bacterial small subunit ribosomal RNA", at positions 30 to 523 of the family's 1533-position model. The record is from RNAcentral.
AUUGAACGCUGGCGGCAUGCCUUACACAUGCAAGUCGAACGGCAGCAUAGGAGCUUGCUCCUGAUGGCGAGUGGCGAACGGGUGAGUAAUAUAUCGGAACGUGCCCUAGAGUGGGGGAUAACUAGUCGAAAGACUAGCUAAUACCGCAUACGAUCUACGGAUGAAAGUGGGGGAUCGCAAGACCUCAUGCUCCUGGAGCGGCCGAUAUCUGAUUAGCUAGUUGGUGGGGUGAAAGCUCACCAAGGCGACGAUCAGUAGCUGGUCUGCGAGGACGACCAGCCACACUGGGACUGGGACACGGCCCAGACUCCUACGGGAGGCAGCAGUGGGGAAUUUUGGACAAUGGGGGCGACCCUGAUCCAGCAAUGCCGCGUGAGUGAAGAAGGCCUUCGGGUUGUAAAGCUCUUUUGUCAGGGAAGAAACGGUUCUGGAUAAUACCUGGGACUAAUGACGGUACCUGAAGAAUAAGCACCGGCUAACUACGUGCCAGCCGCCGCAGUAA